RNAcentral lists this non-coding RNA (28 nucleotides) under Homo sapiens (human). The record is from RNAcentral. Lineage: Eukaryota; Metazoa; Chordata; Mammalia; Primates; Hominidae.
UCCAACACCAGGCCUUGGGGCAACGAAG